GAACGCGAAGAACCUUACCACCUUUUGACAUCCCGAGACGACUUCCAGAGAUGGAUUUCCUCCCGCAAGGGACUCGGUGACAGGUGCUGCAUGGCUGUCGUCAGCUCGUGUCGUGAGAUGUUGGGUUAAGUCCCGCAACGAGCGCAACCCUCGCCUUUAGUUGCCAUCAUUCAGUUGGGCACUCUAGAGGAACCGCCGGUGAUAAGCCGGAGGAAGGUGGGGAUGACGUCAAGUCCUCAUGGCCCUUACAAGGUGGGCUACACACGUGCUACAAUGGCGGUGACAGUGGGUUAAUCCCCAAAAGCCGUCUCAGUUCGGAUUGUCCUCUGCAACUCGAGGGCAUGAAGUCGGAAUCGCUAGUAAUCGUGGAACAGCA
This 376-nucleotide ribosomal RNA is filed under the name uncultured bacterium. RNAcentral describes it as "bacterial SSU rRNA". It matches the Rfam family "Bacterial small subunit ribosomal RNA", at positions 957 to 1354 of the family's 1533-position model. The record is from RNAcentral.